UACGGAGGGUGCAAGCGUUAUCCGGAUUCACUGGGUUUAAAGGGAGCGUAGGUGGGCAGGUAAGUCAGUGGUGAAAUCUCUGGGCUUAACCCGGAAACUGCCAUUGAUACUAUUUGUCUUGAAUUAUCUGGAGGUAAGCGGAAUAUGUCAUGUAGCGGUGAAAUGCUUAGAUAUGACAUAGAACACCCAUUGCGAAGGCAGCUUACUACGGAUAUAUUGACACUGAGGCUCGAAAACGUGGGGAUCAAACAGG
Molecule: ribosomal RNA, 253 nt
Filed under: uncultured bacterium
Lineage: Bacteria
Description: partial 16S ribosomal RNA
Rfam family: Bacterial small subunit ribosomal RNA
Source: RNAcentral